GCCUCGGGGCCGUGCCCAUUCCCUGGGGAGCCUGGGCAGUGCCCAGCAGCCUCUGGGGGAAGAACCUUUCCUGAGAUCCAACCUAAACCCCCCUGACACUGCUCCAGCGGUUCCCUAC
Molecule: long non-coding RNA, 118 nt
Organism: Corvus hawaiiensis (hawaiian crow)
Lineage: Eukaryota; Metazoa; Chordata; Aves; Passeriformes; Corvidae
Exons: 3
Source: RefSeq, a predicted model, not a curated record